This 465-nucleotide ribosomal RNA is filed under the name uncultured bacterium. RNAcentral describes it as "partial 16S ribosomal RNA". It matches the Rfam family "Bacterial small subunit ribosomal RNA", at positions 28 to 507 of the family's 1533-position model. The record is from RNAcentral.
GAUGAACGCUGGCGGCGUGCUUAACACAUGCAAGUCGUACGGUAAGGCCCUUUCGGGGGUACACGAGUGGCGCACGGGUGAGUAACACGUGAGUAACCUGCCCACAACUUUGGGAUAACGCUAGGAAACUGGUGCUAAUACUGGAUAUGUGCUCCUGCUGCAUGGUGGGGGUUGGAAAGCUCCGGCGGUUGUGGAUGGACUCGCGGCCUAUCAGCUUGUUGGUGGGGUAGUGGCCUACCAAGGCGGCGACGGGUAGCCGGCCUGAGAGGGUGACCGGCCACAUUGGGACUGAGAUACGGCCCAGACUCCUACGGGAGGCAGCAGUGGGGAAUAUUGCACAAUGGGCGCAAGCCUGAUGCAGCAACGCCGCGUGCGGGAUGACGGCCUUCGGGUUGUAAACCGCUUUCAGCAGGGACGAAGCUUUUUGUGACGGUACCUGCAGAAGAAGCACCGGCUAACUACGUG